UUUGUUUUUGUUUUUGUUUUUUAAAGAAAAGCCUAAUGAUUAUACCAAUUUGUUGAGCUUUUAAUUUAUUUACGUUUCUUUGAAAAGUUUCAUGUAUUCUUGCUUAUUCAUGUGCUUGUUAGCUUAUAAGAACUUGUACAGCAGAUGCAUUCUGUGUACUUGUCUACUAUUACAGAACAGUAGUUUUUCUGUCUGGGUUGAACUGAUGUGGUCUACCCAUUAUUUGGAAUCAAUAAUUCUGAUUAUUUUGAUACCAUAUUCUUUUAUCUUGUUAAAUAUAUGACAUUUUGAAGAAUGAUACUGAUAGGUAUUUUGCUGUUUUUGGAUGUGAUGUUACAGAUGUUUGAUGAUCAAGACCUGG
RNAcentral lists this unclassified non-coding RNA (361 nucleotides) under Hevea brasiliensis (rubber tree). The record is from RNAcentral. Lineage: Eukaryota; Viridiplantae; Streptophyta; Magnoliopsida; Malpighiales; Euphorbiaceae.